ACGCGCCGACCAAUCGCAGCUCGGGGUGGGAGGGGGGCGGGCCAAUUGCAGUUUUGAGAUGCGAGGCAGACAAACUAGCCGGGUUGAGCUUGACCUAGGGAUCACCAGGGAAAAACCGGGUUGAAGAAGGCCAGGGCGGGGCAGGGGUUCUCCAGGACAGGGGUUCUCCCCACCCGAGCGCAGACUUCUUUCGGGCAUUCCGCUUCACUGGGGACAGGCCCCUGUAUCUCUCUGCAGAACUGGUGGCAGCACGAGGCAGGGUCUUGGGUCUGUUCUCCCAGCUAGCGGCUCCCUCAAGGCGGUCUGUCUGGUGUGCAAGCGCCCCCUGUGGGCCGCACUUGGAUCUCCGGACUCUGUGCGGUGGUGGGGAAACUGGUGGCAUGGGGUGGGGUUUGGAGAAGGACAUGAGAGGAGGGGAGGGGCACAGAGGGGGGCCUCAGAUCCGAGCAGGUCCGCGGGGGUCAAGGAUCCAUCACAGCCAAAAGGAUCCAGGCGAGAAUGCUUUCUCUGAAAGACUUGGGGAAGAAGGCACAUCCCAAUCUUGGGAUGGGGCAAGUGUGGAGACUUCAUUACUCACUUGAUGGCUUGGGCACCGGGAGACCACAGCAUGGGGCACCUAUGUAGGGUGCAGUCUCUUCAGUAGAAACUGUCUACCGCUCCAUUAUUAUGAAGACAAAGGGGCUUCAAGCUGCCAAGCAACAACUAGGAUUUGAACCUGGGUACCUGAGUCUCUAUGGGGUCAAAUCCCAAGUUCUCUACCUCAAGACUCUGUCUUCCCUCUAACUGUGAGGAGAUUGAUGCACAGAGAAGUUAAAAUGCACCCUAGAUCUCACAGCUGACAAGUGGUUAGUUGGGGCUUGUAGCCCAGUUCCCCCCAGUGCCCCAUCGUCUCUAAGUGCCUUGACCUAACAGCUCCUGGGCAUCCUUCAAGAUCCAGCUUUAAGGUCCUCCGUGAAGCUUCCUGCCUCCAGGCCAGUCCAUGUCAGAGUACCCCAAUGGUGUCCCCUUGAAAGCUCCCUUACAGAUGUCAGUGAUUAUGCAGUUCUGUAUGUUAAAUUAGAGGGCCCCAAGGGUUUUGCCCUCCAGCCACCUUUCGUGAAUUUGACAGUUAUGCACCUGUGUGCACAGUAUGUGGCCUGCCCCUGUUUUGCCCCAGUGUUGUGGGUCCCCUUGGCCAACUCUUUAUCACCUUUCCUGCUGUCUGCUCCCUACACACUCUUGCUCUAACUGCUAGGCCCACAUCGCCACCCAGUGGCGAGUCCUCUCAUGGUUUCACUCAACAAAUUUCCAUAUUCCAGGAUAACCCCUCUUCCCACUCCAGGGAUUGGCCUUGUCACAGGAUCUCCCUGCUUCUUCCUACCCAAAACAGUCACAAGAUGGGUCAGUCACAAUAAUACCAGCAGUGCCUUCCUUGAAGUCUGGCUUAUUUGGUCUCUCUACUCUCAUCAUUUGCAGCCUCUCUUCCCCCUGAAGGACAGUUCACAUGUAUAUGUGUGUAAGGGAUAUAUUUAGCCCUCUCCCCCUCUCCCCACACUCACUGGACCUCUUUGCCACUGUAAGCUAUUCCAAAGGCCUCAGCCCUAGACUUCUUGGACAUACAGCUAUCAUGGAGGACUGUGUGGCAAAGUCUGCCACCAUGAACCCACCCCUGCCCAGCCAUCCCAAAUGCUGAAUUCUCCCAUCAGUGUGCAGGUGGUUGCUGGAAAAUGAGCAGCUAAGGGAAACCACACCUUCUGACUCUCUUGGAUUAAAUGAGCAGUUGCAAAACAUUUGUCUAUGAUGGACCUAUAUGGGAAAUGUGUGUGCUUUUGUAAGCACUGGCAUUGGUUAUGGAGACUGCAAGAGGACAGGCAUCACCAGUGCUUACUUUUUACAUUUCCCUAUGGUUUGAAUUUAUUAUAACAACCAAGUUUUACUUAUGCAAUUAAAUUUUAAUUAAAAAGAGAUAAGUUAAAAAAUACAAUUAUAAAAUGUUUAGAAUAAUUGUAAUCUAAUUCCAUUUUUAGAAAAUAAGAUAUCUCAGCAACUACAGCAUACACUGAGAUAACUUUGGCUGGGACAAGGAGCCACCCUCAGCUGCCCAGCACUCUGCUUUUGAGUGGGACCCUGCUUGUCCAGAAUGAGAUCUUGCUCAGCUUUGGGCUCACCUGGCCCAAACCAAUCACCUCCAGAGGGAGGAUCCUUCUCCAGUCUCCAAGCUGCAGAAGUUUCCAGAUCACAGGGCUUCCUCCAAGGCUCUGAGAUCUUGGAUCAGAUUCUUAAGUGGGACUCAGGGAGAGAGAUUCUGGGUCCAGCUAGGCAUAAAUGUGUGUAUGUGUGUGGUGUGCAUGUGCAUGCCCAUGUGUCUGUACACAUGUGUACAUAUUUGUGCAUUUGUGUGCAUAUUUGAACAUAUGUGAGAGCAUAUUUGUACAUGUGGAUGUAGGAAUGGGGCAGGGAGGCACAGGGGAGGAGAGCAUCAUUUGAGGGUAAGAGCUGGGCCCUGGAGUUGUUCUUCAGGGGUUGGGGUGGAGACUCUGCCAUGACAGCUACUGAUCUUAGGCAGGUUGCUUGAUCUCUAGGGCUUGUCUGUCUUGUAGGCUGUGUGGGAUGUGUUUAGUCCUGCCUACUCUGGUUCCAGUGAGGUCAUGGAGUGCCCAGGUAGAACACCCACACAGUGUCUAGUCCAAAAGAAGGGUUCAGUACGGUCAGUUGAGGUCAUCAUCAGGGCCUCUCCUUCGCUGAACUCUGCUAGCUUGAAGAGUGUUUCAAGGAGACAGGGCAGAGCCCUGGGCACUGUCCUCCAGCACAGCAGGUUCCAGCUCUCCAGGAACUGCUCUGAAGAGCCUUGGACCUACAGGACCCCAGGAAUCCACGUGCACCUACACUUUAGGUACGCUGGCGGUGGGCCACCACUAAGGAAGUCGCAAGCCUUACAAGCCUUGCUAGAGGGCCGUCUGGCAGCGUGCAGAGAAAACGCCCGACUCAAGUGGCUUCCUGUGGCUCCAAGAGAAACUGCGCUGUCACUUCGUAGGUCGCUGGUAAGCUCCGGGGCUCUCACUGCCCUCGCGGUUCCGGGGCUCGGGAGCCUAGGAGGU
Molecule: long non-coding RNA, 3077 nt
Organism: Herpailurus yagouaroundi (jaguarundi)
Lineage: Eukaryota; Metazoa; Chordata; Mammalia; Carnivora; Felidae
Exons: 3
Source: RefSeq, a predicted model, not a curated record